GAUGAACGCUGGCGGCGUGCCUAACACAUGCAAGUCGAGCGAACCCUUCGGAAGAGAGCGGCGGACGGGUGAGUAACGCGUGGGUAACCUGCCCUGUACACACGGAUAACAUACCGAAAGGUAUGCUAAUACGGGAUGACAUAUGAAAGUCGCAUGGCUUUUAUAUCAAAGCUCCGGCGGUACAGGAUGGACCCGCGUCUGAUUAGCUAGUUGGUAAGGUAACGGCUUACCAAGGCGACGAUCAGUAGCCGACCUGAGAGGGUGAUCGGCCACACUGGAACUGAGACACGGUCCAGACUCCUACGGGAGGCAGCAGUGGGGAAUAUUGCACAAUGGGCGAAAGCCUGAUGCAGCAACGCCGCGUGAGCGAUGAAGGCCUUCGGGUCGUAAAGCUCUGUCCUCAAGGAAGAUAAUGACGGUACUUGAGGAGGAAGCCCCGGCUAACUACGUGCCAGCAGCCGCGGUAAUACGUAGGGGGCUAGCGUUAUCCGGAAUUACUGGGCGUAAAGGGUGCGUAGGCGGUCUUUCAAGCCAGAAGUGAAAGGCUACGGCUCAACCGUAGUAAGCUUUUGGAACUGUAGGACUUGAGUGCAGGAGAGGAGAGUAGAAUUCCUAGUGUAGCGGUGAAAUGCGUAGAUAUUAGGAGGAAUACCAGUAGCGAAGGCGGCUCUCUGGACUGUAACUGACGCUGAGGCACGAAAGCGUGGGGAGCAAACAGG
RNAcentral lists this ribosomal RNA (719 nucleotides) under uncultured bacterium. Its description in RNAcentral is "bacterial SSU rRNA". It matches the Rfam family "Bacterial small subunit ribosomal RNA", at positions 28 to 776 of the family's 1533-position model. The record is from RNAcentral.